This 253-nucleotide ribosomal RNA is filed under the name uncultured bacterium. Its description in RNAcentral is "partial 16S ribosomal RNA". It matches the Rfam family "Bacterial small subunit ribosomal RNA", at positions 524 to 776 of the family's 1533-position model. The record is from RNAcentral.
UACGUAGGGGGCAAGCGUUGUCCGGAAUCAUUGGGCGUAAAGAGCGUGUAGGCGGCCCGGUAAGUCCGCUGUGAAAGUCCAGGGCUCAACCCAUAGCCUGCAUCCAAUACUGACGAACUAGAGUUCUGGAGGGGGUAGCGGAAUUCCUGGUGUAGCGGUGAAAUGCGUAGAUAUCAGGAGGAACACCGGUGGCGAAGGCGGCUACCUGGACAGAGUCUGACGCUGAGGCACGAAAGCUAGGGGAGCAAACAGG